UCUAUAUCGCAUGAAAACAGGCAUUCAAUGGCAUUAGUGCAACUGUUAUUCACAAGGUCGUUUUCGAGGCGUAAUAGCUUAUUGGAUGCUUAACUUUCAAAGGCCCCACCAGCCAAAGCGGAGGAGAUAGCCAACACCUCUGACUCCACAAGCCCCUCCAGUUUGGCUGCCACGGCCCCGAACCCCUGCCUCAGCGAGGGACCCCAUGAGCAUGCGCCAUAUCUAGCGUUACCAUUCUAGAGUGUUUGAUAGUAUUUACAUGUACAGAUAU
This is a non-coding RNA of Pelobates cultripes (western spadefoot toad), 271 nucleotides long. Lineage: Eukaryota; Metazoa; Chordata; Amphibia; Anura; Pelobatidae. The record is from the annotation of a GenBank genome assembly.